UUCCCCUCUUUAGACAUUCUUUUUCCACUCUUAAAUCCUCUCUUACCUUGUCUUUUAUUUAUAGUUAGAAGCUUGGAGAUCUCUUCCCCAUCCCUUAUGAAGGUUUUUCUUGAGUUUUAAGGAGCUUGAAGGAGAAAAAGGGUUGAUUUGAAGCAAAGAGCUAACCAAGGACUUGCAUUCAAGGAAGCAAAAUUGUGAAAGUUGCUUUUGCAGGUAGUAAGUGAGGAGGUGCGGCUGCGUGCUGAGCAUUUGCUACCUCCCAAUCUUCUGUAUAUCUUUUCAGUUCAUGUAUGUUUAUUUUUGGUCAUGCACAUGUGUGUUUGAGUCUUGUAUCAACAAGUAUGUAUAGAACUCUGUUGCAUGGUGUUGUAUUUAAACAACUCUUAAACUCUUAGUA
This is a long non-coding RNA of Dioscorea cayenensis subsp. rotundata (Guinea yam), 397 nucleotides long. RefSeq lists it as uncharacterized. The transcript is spliced from 3 exons. Lineage: Eukaryota; Viridiplantae; Streptophyta; Magnoliopsida; Dioscoreales; Dioscoreaceae. The record is from RefSeq and is a predicted model, not a curated record.